RNAcentral lists this unclassified non-coding RNA (748 nucleotides) under Burkholderia sp. JNR58. RNAcentral's name for it is "partial 16S-23S ribosomal RNA intergenic spacer; may also contain 16S ribosomal RNA and 23S ribosomal RNA". The stretch from base 631 to 748 matches the Rfam family "Bacterial large subunit ribosomal RNA", at positions 1 to 117 of the family's 2925-position model. Lineage: Bacteria; Pseudomonadati; Pseudomonadota; Betaproteobacteria; Burkholderiales; Burkholderiaceae. The record is from RNAcentral.
UCCCCUCCUUUCUCGAGCUCACGUGUCAAUCGUGUUGAGCGCUCACGCUUAUCGGCUGUGAAUUGAAGACAGAAACGCAGACAGACUCAGGGGUCUGUAGCUCAGUCGGUUAGAGCACCGUCUUGAUAAGGCGGGGGUCGAUGGUUCGAAUCCAUCCAGACCCACCAUUGUCUUGUCUGCGAUGGCUGACCGGCAAAACCCCUGAGUGGCAACAGAUGAUGGUCUGUGCAUGACUGGGGGAUUAGCUCAGCUGGGAGAGCACCUGCUUUGCAAGCAGGGGGUCGUCGGUUCGAUCCCGUCAUCCUCCACCAAUCCUCAAUGCGUAGCGUUCCGUGAGAAGCAGAAUGCUGCGCAUUGGCGAUUGAGCCAGUCAGAGUGAUACAUGGUUAUAGCAACCAUGAUAUCGGCUGUCGUUCUUUAACAAUCAGGAAGAAGUAGUAAAGAGAUUCACGAAAGCAUGCUUAGAGAUGGGUGUGCGAGUAGGUGAAUCAGGGUUGUGAUUGUAUCAAUGUAUUUUUAAGUGAUCGAAAGAUUGCUUUGGAAUACGGCGCAACACGAAUACUCAACCUGUAGCGAGCGUGACAAACACGAUCUUCCCAGUGAAGGCCGUGCGAGACACACCCGUUAUAGGGUCAAGCGAACAAGUGCAUGUGGUGGAUGCCUUGGCGAUCACAGGCGAUGAAGGACGCGGUAGCCUGCGAAAAGCGGAGGGGAGCUGGCAAACGAGCUUUGAUCCUCCGAUAUCCGA